UCAUGUUUUAACAGAGUUAUUUCUGUAAGAUUACUACUUUGGAGUUUGUUAUACACCAGAGUUCAUCAUUUUUAUUAGCCUCCAGCAAACUUUGUUACAGUUGUAAAGGUUACUCAUCUGUAAGAGAUUAAAAUAACUGCAAAACCACUAAGCUGAUCACAGAACUGAACGGCCGAACAAAUGAACAAACACACGCACACACAUUUAUUUACCCGCAACAGUUGAUUGAAGUUGUUGUACACCUCAAGGUCGGCGGAAAUAUAUCUGUCAGGAUUGACUAACAAGGCCAACACUUCUGUGUAGAGCUGAGAUAUCAGGGCUGAACAUGAUGUAUGAUGUUCUGUGCAUGUAUGAUAUAACAGAAAGUAGAUUCUUGGUGCUAAAUGAUCAGGUAUCCGCUGAUGAAAGAAAUUCAAUUCUCUACUCUACGCUGAACAAAUAAAUAAAAAUUGAAUAGAUAAAUGUCAAGGAUCACUUAUUCCAGAAGUCUUCAAAAGCACAAAGGAAGUAAAUUGUUGCCAGGGAGAAAAAUUACAGCAAUACCACUGCUUGUAGUUCAGUGAUUUUCAGAGAGACGCAAAUAUAACCAAACAUGAACCCACACACAAACAUACAUGUGUAUAACAGGAAUGCACUUAGAAUCGGUCAUAAUUUUUGUUUACUCCAGCAAAUCUCUUGUUUCUUUCCUCUGAACAGAAACUCUGAAUUAUUGAACUAAUUAAAAAAUAGUGUUGUGAGCCAUUUUUCUUUGUCGGAGCAAUAGCGAACAGCGAAAAAUCCUCAGUCCUUUAUUGGUUCUAAGAUUCACACCUUUACCAUUUCUGACUGCUUGUUCCAGUGCCACAACCAAGAACACUGAUUUUUUUUUCAAUUAUUUGCCAUCAAAUGGACUUUGUUCAGUGUUUUGAGCAAGCGUUUCACUUUGUGCACAACACCAAAACAAAAGCAGUUUCGUCUCUAUCAUAUAUUUGAUCAGAAUUUUCUUCUUCUUUGAUGCAACAAACCAAGCCAGUUCCUGAACAAAAUAUUCUGCUUCUAAGCCUGCACUCCUCUUUUCCAUCUGAUACACUGUGCAGUGAAAUUUUUAUGUCUACUUCUAAAUUUGUGCAACCUUCCAUGCAAAUAUUCACACUAAACAUUUUUUGGCCUGUUCAACGAUAAUGCUGCUAGAAAUAUUCACAACUUCAGAUGUAAGUUACUCUAAAGCAGUUUAUCAGAGAACUAUCUUUUUUCACCUUUUAUUUUGAUCAGAAAAAGAAAAAAACUUCUAAAUUUGUUCUUUGUGUUUCUUUAAAUCAUAAAUGAUAGAAGAACUAACUUCACACAAGACAUACAUGUCACACAUUUAUUUAACUUUUCAAACAGCUCCAUAUUUUCCAGCAUUGACAAUGAUUUGUGCUUAUGUUUUUCUACUUCCAUUGUGGCUUGUAAAGUGUCUUAAAAGAAAAAGUCUUGCUAAAAUAAGAGUGAAAGGAACAAAUCACAGACAAUUCAAUUGAUGCAAAUGAGGGCUUUGCAACAUGAUGAAGGCAUUGUGUAACUUAGCAUAUCAUCUAUGAGGAAUGUUUUAUUUGAUCUGCAUUAAUUAGGAAAAAGGUUGAAAACAAGCCCCUUUUAAAAAGAUUAAGGUGGUAAAUUUCAUGUGGUAAAACCAGGGUUUAGCUGUGUAGAUUCUGAAAAUAAUACCAGUUAUAUAAAUGACUAUUUGCACAAUAGCAUCUUAUUCUUUGUUAGAAGAAUAACCAUGAAUCAUAUGUGAAUAUAUGCCAUUUGAUAUAUGUCAUAUAUAUAUAUAUAUAUAUAUAUAUACACACGUACACCAUAUAUAUAUAUGUGUGUGUGUGUAUAUAUAUGUUAAGAAUAAAGGGUAAAUCCCACUUUGGUCAUGAAUGACCACGGAGUUGCACCUAGAAAGUUACCCUGUGAGGUACAAGUCUGGACAAAGUUGUUUAUGGAAGACCAGCAGUCACCCAGGCAUACCAGCCCCACCUCUUAAUGCUACCAAUGUUAUCCAAGGAAAAGGCUAAGGCCAACACAACUUGGUACCAGUGAUGUCGCAACUCAUUUCUAUGGCUGAGUGAACUGGAGCAAUGUGAAAUAAAGUGACUUGCUCAAGAACACAACACACAGCCCAGUCUGGGAAUCAAACUCACUACUUCAUGAUUGUGAACAUGAUGCGCUAACCACUGAGCCAUGCACUUAUAUAUAUAGUUGAAAUUUACAGAAAAACAAAAUAUGAAGGCAGGUGUAUAAACAACAAACAGGUGUAUUAGUUUGACGCUUGGAAAGGUGAGAAAGUCUUUUAUGUUUUGAGCCUAUGCUCUUCAACAGAAAGGAAAAUGAGGAAAUAAACAGAGAGAGAAUAAAAAACUUGUGGAUUUAGCAAUGUGAUGGGUAAAUUAUUGCCAUUUUAUAUUUUUAAUUUUGUGCAUGUGCAUUGUUUGUUUUUGAUUUUGUCAACUACACAGUAUAGUUGGGUCAGUUGGGUACUGUUUGUGUGAAAAACAGCACCAUGAUGCAAUUCACAGUCAGAAAUUUAGAAAUGACAUGCUGUACUGCUUGGCAUUCACUUCAGAAACUCCAAUUACGAAUAUUUCAGAGUGUUUGGGUGUCAAUCUGAGGACAGUGCAGAGGAUUUGGAAAGAGUUGGAUGAGUCUAAUGGUGAUUACGAGGGUACAGCAGCUCAGAAAACUCACUCUAAUCAUUCUGAUAAGAAAAGAACUCCUGAAUUUUCAGUGAGAUCCAGGCCAUGAUUGACAACAAUCCCUCCAAGUCAAUCUGGUCCAUCACCAGGGACAGGGGAGUGUCUGAGUUUCUUAUCAAGCAGGUAGUGCAUGAAGACAUUCAGUAUUCCUCCUACAAGAUGACAAAAGGCCAAUUUUUAUCCCAAGCCAUCAAGGACAAGAGGAAAGACAAAGCUACAAAGCUUUUGAACAAAGAUGAACUGAAAGCAAGGGUUAUGGCAGCAUUCACAAUACUUAAACAAGGAGACUAUCCAGAAGAGCUGCAGGAGAUUCCAAAGUCAUCUGGAGGCCGUGAUUGAAGCCAAUGGUGAUUUCAUUGAAUAAAUUUACUCUUUAGUAUUUCAAGAUAUUUCUAUGUAAUUUUGGUAAAUAUAUCUGUUAAAAUGAGA
Long non-coding RNA from Octopus bimaculoides (California two-spot octopus), 3134 nucleotides. The record is from RefSeq and is a predicted model, not a curated record. NCBI's taxonomy places the organism in Eukaryota, Metazoa, Mollusca, Cephalopoda, Octopoda, Octopodidae.